GCCCAGGUGGCGGAAUUGGUAGACGCGCUAGGUUCAGGUCCUAGUGAGCUUCGGCUCGUGGAAGUUCGAGUCUUCUCUUGGGCACCA
This 87-nucleotide transfer RNA is filed under the name Alphaproteobacteria bacterium. RNAcentral's name for it is "tRNA-Leu". It matches the Rfam family "tRNA". From Rfam's summary of the family: Transfer RNA (tRNA) molecules are approximately 80 nucleotides in length. Lineage: Bacteria; Pseudomonadati; Pseudomonadota; Alphaproteobacteria. The record is from RNAcentral.